GUCGGUCGUCCCAACGCAGGGGGCAGCACGAGGCGGCCGGGGGAGGCGCACCCACUGGAGAAAACUGCGGGCCGAGGAACGCCCCACGCUCGCCAGCGGCUGCUGCCCCCAAGGCAAAGCUUCGGGAAGACCAGCCGAAAAUCAAGCGCAGACAACCCCCCUUUCCUGCAGAAAGGGCCCCAGACUCCAACGAAAGGGCCCCGACUGCUGAGAAGCCCCUCCCGCCCUUGCCUCAUCUUUCCGACUUCCCUGCCUGCCACGUCUCCUUUCCUUUCCAGCAAGGGCACACCCAGAGGUCCCCCGCUGAAAAGGAUUUGCUGCUUCACCUGAAGAGAGGAAUGGAUACAUCAGGUCUCCAGAGCCACCCUUCCCUGCCUCCAGGCAGGGGGCUCUCUCUAUCCAGCGCCUCCGACCCAUCAGGAAGGGUUAAUUGCCUCAGAACAAGAGAGCCUAGAGGGGGAGAUGCUGAGAGGAAAACAUCCAGGGCUGAGAGAAAACAUGCCGCACACCCCUCCCCCACCACGUACGACCAGACUGACAGCCGGGACAGACUGUCUGCUCUAUCAUCUCCAGUCCAGCCGCCAGGCACCUCCCCCACUGCCCGCCGCAGUCCCUGCAGACCGCCUGCCCUCGGUUCCAGCCACCUGGCACUGGGCAGGGUACCCCAGUGUGGGCAGCGCAGUCUUUGCAGUGGUGGCAGUAACCACUUUCCCCUUCCUCCAUGCCAGGUUCUGGUCCCACCUUUUGUGGGAGUGGGGCGGCUGCUCCCUCACCGCCCUCCUCUCCAAGAGUGCCCGAACUCUACGUGUCAGGGUGACUUAGCUACCUGGCCCCUCAGCCUCACUGGACAAAUUGGAGGUUAGGGUGCCUUGGGGCAGGGAUAGCAGAACACCAAUUAAAUGCGACUGUAGCAGCUGCCCCCUCCUCCAUUAUAAGGGGGGGGGGCAAUAAAGAAAGCUGGAGUUUUAUAGUCCUUUUAUCUGACCCACUCUCUCUUAAAGGGAUCGAAACCCCCUCCUUAAAGGGAUCUCCAGAAAUUAUUUGCCCCCUCCCGCCCCCCAGGCAAAUCCAAGUGCAAUCCGGUCUGUUUGGUCUUUACCUGCUGAGGCCCCUUUCCCUAGGGAUGGGGGAGGCAGACGUGCUCUCCCUGUGACUCUGAGCCGGAAGGGCAAGGCCCCCUCCUGCUGCCAAGGAGCCAGCUGUUGAGUGCCCAGCAAAGAAGAGAAGAACAGGCCCUCUUCCUCUUCUAAUGGCACUCAAUGCCACAGGCUGAGGGGGAAGUCAAGGUGAGGCAGGGGUCAGUCUGCAUAAGAAGUAAAAAGGGGGGGGGUGCUACCUGCAUCCAGACCUUGGGGAACACAUGUCCAUGGCGCGGUGUCCAAAACCCCCAUCUGCCCAGACUGCUGGCCAGACUGCUGGCCAGAGGAAGUCUUUGCCGGCUGCUCCCCACCCCCACCCCCCACUCCCCAAAAGCUAUUUCUGCAUUCUCCUUCUAGCAACUCCCGACUCCUACCCUCUUUAGGGCCCCAGGCCUUCCCCUUGGGGUGCCCUCUCUGCCCUUUAUCCAAGUUGCCUCCACCAAGCCGCAACAACUGCAGACUAAACCCCAUUUCAGGUUCUUCCCUGUCCCUGCCGGCGAGUCCCGGGGUCCGUCUCACCCUCCAGCGCCCUCCACACCCCCAACUCCCAGCCAAGGGGGUGGGGGAUGGGCACACCUCGGCUCCGGAGAGCCCAGAAGAGCGCAUCCUCCCCCUCCUGCUUACUCGGCACCUAGUCCCACCCGGCCCUUGAGGCUGCAGGGUUCGAGGAGGGUGGGUGUGAACCGGGGGGAGGGGGAGGCGGGGUCCGAGGGCACUCCAGACCAAGAGGGAGAGUCGCAAGCAGGCGUUCACUGAAGCUACCCCUUCUGCCCCUCCUCCCUUCGCGCGUGGAGGGUCGAGGCUGCCGCCGGAGGCUUUCCUGGGCGCUUGGGAACCCGCCAAGGCCCCCACCCCUGCCACUCCCAGGAGGAGAGGCUCCCCCAAGGACGGGAGCUGCGAGCCCUCCCCCCGCACCUCCCGCAGCUGCGGCAGCCUCCGGCUGAGGUCAGGCUCCACCUCCUUUCUCCGGAGGGAGAGCGCGAGGAUUGUUUGUUGUUGGGGUGUGAGAGAGAGAGAGAAGGUUCGAGAUCACCUGGCCCGGUGGGCACUGGCCCCGGGAGCGGGCCGAGUGGGCUGGGUUCGGCGGGAGCCCACU
Molecule: non-coding RNA, 2235 nt
Organism: Sus scrofa (pig)
Lineage: Eukaryota; Metazoa; Chordata; Mammalia; Artiodactyla; Suidae
Source: RefSeq, a predicted model, not a curated record